UACGUAGGGUGCAAGCGUUGUCCGGAAUUAUUGGGCGUAAAGAGCUCGUAGGCGGUUUGUCGCGUCUGCUGUGAAAACUCGGGGCUUAACCCCGGGCCUGCAGUGGGUACGGGCAGACUAGAGUGCGGUAGGGGAGACUGGAAUUCCUGGUGUAGCGGUGAAAUGCGUAGAUAUCGUGGAGAACACCCGUGGCGAAGGCGGGCUUCUGGCUAAUGACUGACGCUGAGGUGCGAAAGCUAGGGGAGCGAACGGG
Molecule: ribosomal RNA, 253 nt
Filed under: uncultured bacterium
Lineage: Bacteria
Description: partial 16S ribosomal RNA
Rfam family: Bacterial small subunit ribosomal RNA
Source: RNAcentral